AGAGUUUGAUCCUGGCUCAGGACGAACGCUGGCGGCGUGCCUAACACAUGCAAGUCGAACGUGAUUGGAAGCUUGCUUCCAUGAAAGUGGCGCACGGGUGAGUAACGCGUAGAUAAUCUACCUGAUGAUCCGGGAUAACACUUCGAAAGGGGUGCUAAUACCUGAUAAGCCCACGGAGUCUUUGGACUCUGCGGGAAAAGGGGGGGACCUUCGGGCCUUCCGUCAUCAGAUGAGUCUGCGUACCAUUAGCUAGUUGGUAGGGUAAAGGCCUACCAAGGCGACGAUGGUUAGCUGGUCUGAGAGGAUGAUCAGCCACACUGGAACUGAGACACGGUCCAGACUCCUACGGGAGGCAGCAGUGGGGAAUUUUGCGCAAUGGGGGAAACCCUGACGCAGCAACGCCGCGUGAGUGAUGAAGGCCCUUGGGUCGUAAAGCUCUGACAGAGGGAAAGAAGUGUAGAGUGGCUAAUAUCCACAUUACUUGACGGUACCCUCAAAGGAAGCACCGGCUAACUCCGUGCCAGCAGCCGCGGUAAUA
This 538-nucleotide ribosomal RNA is filed under the name uncultured bacterium. RNAcentral's name for it is "bacterial SSU rRNA". It matches the Rfam family "Bacterial small subunit ribosomal RNA", at positions 8 to 525 of the family's 1533-position model. The record is from RNAcentral.